RNAcentral lists this ribosomal RNA (897 nucleotides) under uncultured SAR86 cluster bacterium. RNAcentral describes it as "SSU rRNA". It matches the Rfam family "Bacterial small subunit ribosomal RNA", at positions 24 to 917 of the family's 1533-position model. The record is from RNAcentral. Lineage: Bacteria; Pseudomonadati; Pseudomonadota; Gammaproteobacteria.
UCAGAUUGAACGCUGGCGGCAGCCUUAUACAUGCAAGUCGAACGAGAAAGUUCCUUCGGGAGCGAGUAAAGUGGCGGACGGGUGAGUAACGCGUAGGAAUCUACCUUUCAGUGGGGGAUAGCUCGGGGAAACUCGAAUUAAUACCGCAUACACCCUUCGGGGGAAAGGGGGCCUCUCCUUGGAAGCUCUCGCUGUUAGAUGAGCCUGCGUGAGAUUAGCUUGUUGGUAAGGUAAUGGCUUACCAAGGCUACGAUCUCUAGCUGGUCUGAGAGGACGAUCAGCCACACUGGGACUGAGACACGGCCCAGACUCCUACGGGAGGCAGCAGUAGGGAAUAUUGGACAAUGGGGGCAACCCUGAUCCAGGCAUGCCGCGUGUGUGAAGAAGGCCUUAGGGUUGUAAAGCACUUUAAGUGAGGAAGAAAAGAUUUAAAUUAAUACUUUAAGUCCCUGACAUUAUUCACAGAAUAAGGACCGGCUAACUCCGUGCCAGCAGCCGCGGUAAUACGGAGGGUCCAAGCGUUAAUCGGAAUUACUGGGCGUAAAGCGCGCGUAGAUGGUUUAUUCAGUUGGGUGUGAAAUCCCUGGGCUCAACCUAGGAACUGCAUUCAAAACUUAUAAACUAGAGUACGAAAGAGGAGAGUAGAAUUCAUGGUGUAGCGGUGAAAUGCGUAGAGAUCAUGAGGAAUACCAGUGGCGAAGGCGACUCUCUGGUUCGAGACUGACAUUGAGGUGCGAAAGCGUGGGUAGCAAACAGGAUUAGAUACCCUGGUAGUCCACGCCGUAAACGAUGAGAACUAGCCGUUGGGAUCUUUAGAUUUCAGUGGCGCAGCUAACGCAUUAAGUUCUCCGCCUGGGGAGUACGGCCGCAAGGCUAAAACUCAAAUGAAUUGACGGA